Molecule: non-coding RNA, 370 nt
Organism: Pelobates cultripes (western spadefoot toad)
Lineage: Eukaryota; Metazoa; Chordata; Amphibia; Anura; Pelobatidae
Source: the annotation of a GenBank genome assembly
CUCGAUGUGAAUGCACAUUAGGUCCCAGAGUUGCAGCGGAGGCGGAGCCAGACCCAUUGCCCAGGGACAUCGGCACUGGAUUCAGGUAAGUGACAAAAUGGAUUUUAAUAGUAUAAGAAAAGCAAGAAAUGGGACUAGAAAAGUCCUGAGCAGGAGAGUAAUGGGGGGAAGGGGUCCCUACCGUUAAUAAUCCUAAGGGAAAGCAAAAUUAAAAUAGGACAGGAAAAAUAAUAAAAAGGGAAAAAGAAAGGAGGUGGAAAGAGGAAUGUGUAGUGAUAGACCAUCCAAAGGCAUACCUGUCCUAGUAGCUAAAAAGAUCAAUUAAACCAAUCCAUAAGUGCUACCAAAAGUGAAUUAAAUAAAUUGAUAA